RNAcentral lists this ribosomal RNA (262 nucleotides) under uncultured bacterium. RNAcentral's name for it is "partial 16S ribosomal RNA". It matches the Rfam family "Bacterial small subunit ribosomal RNA", at positions 793 to 1055 of the family's 1533-position model. The record is from RNAcentral.
GUCCCGGCGGUAAACGAUGGGCACUAGGUGUUGGAGGUAUCGACCCCUUCAGUGCCGCAGCUAACGCAUUAAGUGCCCCGCCUGGGGAGUACGGCCGCAAGGCUGAAACUCAAAGGAAUUGACGGGGCCCGCACAAGCGGUGGAGUAUGUGGUUCAAUUCGAUGCAACGCGCAGAACCUUACCUGGGCUUGACAUGUACUGGACAGAGGCUGAAAGGUCUCCUCCUUCGGGGAUCGGUGCACAGGUGCUGCAUGGCUGUCGU